UUGCUAAAAGCAGCGUAAAACCAAACUCACUCACUCCAACAUUGUGGAGUAGCUUUCCCGUUACCUCUGACAUAAUCCAUAUUGUAACGGCCUGAUCAUAUUGAUAUUAUUUUAUGUGCGCUUCCUCGAUUCCCUGAAGCCAAGGGGAGGGCACUCUAUUUGACUAUCGGCAAGACCGGGUAAUUUAUUUAAAGCAUGCAGAAAGAAAAGGCGCAAUGCAGAAUGCAGAACGGUGAACCACGAGGUGACACAGAAUGUCAAUUAAUCGUCUCUAAAGCCGCAAAGAAGGAAGAUAGUGAAAAAUAUAUAGUCAGAAAGAAAUGAAGAAUAAACUUUGAAGGCAUAGAGAGGAAUAGACAAUUCAGUGGUUUGGCUGUCACAUAUAUAGCGGACAUCAACCUGUGCAUCAUACAGCUAGCUUGACCUCUGUCUUUGCUAUCUGGCGGACAAAUGCGGCAUUGCCAUUGCCCUUGUUUAUAUCUAGUAGAGUUGUGCAUGUGCAGGCUUUGCAAUGGACUGAUAAUGUGUGAAGCCCAUUUCUGGCAUCCCACGCUGUGAUAUUGCUGGAAUAUUGCUAAAAGCAGUGUAAAACCUACCUCCCUCACUCACUGGGCGUAGAUGGAUAGCUGUCACUGUUUCCCACUACUGGCUGAGCCAAUUCUGUUGGGUGUUGAAGUUGUAAUAUGGACUGAGGCAAAGUAAACCUAUGUGAGUAUAGAGCCUGAUGUUGCAUUAAUCAUUUUAUGAAUGCACGCCAGUGCAUGAAUGUGGACAGUUAGAAGUCAGGUGGUCCGUUCCCUCAGAACCCACGACAGACCAGGCGAGUCCAGGCUUACAUUCCCCUGGACAACAGGUAAUACGAUUAGGUAAUUGUUGUAGGCCCACUGGCGCCCAAAUGCAGUUAUGACAGAACUCUUACACCACAGAGUUGUCCAUGGGAUCAGAGAUAUAUUUCUUCAGAUGGACUUUUGAAGCGUCUCUGUACAGGAAAGGAGUACUACAGGUGUUCUUACUGUUAAUUUAAUUGAUGGCUGUCUCCCUCCCAAGAAUGGUCACCUGCAUCCUUUUUUUGGUAUGCAAAAGAUGUAAGUUUGUUAUAUUUAUACACUAGCAUAUGUAAUAAAUCCAACUCAUGUCAA
Molecule: long non-coding RNA, 1139 nt
Organism: Haliotis rubra (blacklip abalone)
Lineage: Eukaryota; Metazoa; Mollusca; Gastropoda; Lepetellida; Haliotidae
Exons: 2
Source: RefSeq, a predicted model, not a curated record